RNAcentral lists this unclassified non-coding RNA (158 nucleotides) under uncultured Helotiaceae. RNAcentral describes it as "sequence contains ITS1". Lineage: Eukaryota; Fungi; Ascomycota; Leotiomycetes; Helotiales; Helotiaceae. The record is from RNAcentral.
CAGAGUUCAUGCCCUCACGGGUAGAUCUCCCACCCUUGAAUAUUAUACCUUCGUUGCUUUGGCAGGCCGUGGAAACACCAUGGGCCCCGGCUUAUGCGUGCCUGCCAGAGGAAACAAACUCUGAAUUUUAAUGUCGUCUGAGUACUAUAUAAUAGUUA